CUUGGUCAUUUAGAGGAAGUAAAAGUCGUAACAAGGUCUCCGUUGGUGAACCAGCGGAGGGAUCAUUACAGAGUUAUCCAACUCCCAAACCCAUGUGAACUUAUCUCUUUGUUGCCUCGGCGCAAGCUACCCGGGACCUCGCGCCCCGGGCGGCCCGCCGGCGGACAAACCAAAACUCUUGUUAUCUUAGUUGAUUAUCUGAGUGUCUUAUUUAAUAAGUCAAAACUUUCAACAACGGAUCUCUUGGUUCUGGCAUCGAUGAAGAACGCAGCGAAAUGCGAUAAGUAAUGUGAAUUGCAGAAUUCAGUGAAUCAUCGAAUCUUUGAACGCACAUUGCGCCCAUUAGUAUUCUAGUGGGCAUGCCUGUUCGAGCGUCAUUUCAACCCCUAAGCACAGCUUAUUGUUGGGAACCUACGGCUUCGUAGUUCCUCAAAGACAUUGGCGGAGUGGCAGUGGUCCUCUGAGCGUAGUAAUCUUUUAUCUCGCUUCUGUUAGGUGCUGCCCCCCCGGCCGUAAAACCCCCAAUUUUUUCUGGUUGACCUCGGAUCAGGUAGGAAUACCCGCUGAACUUAAGCAUAUCAAUAAGCGGAGGA
RNAcentral lists this ribosomal RNA (593 nucleotides) under uncultured fungus. RNAcentral's name for it is "eukaryotic LSU rRNA". The stretch from base 224 to 377 matches the Rfam family "5.8S ribosomal RNA". The record is from RNAcentral. Lineage: Eukaryota; Fungi.